Leptonychotes weddellii (Weddell seal) is the source of this 1602-nucleotide non-coding RNA. The record is from RefSeq and is a predicted model, not a curated record. Lineage: Eukaryota; Metazoa; Chordata; Mammalia; Carnivora; Phocidae.
CAGCUCAACUGGACGCAGAGACACAGAGGAACGAGAAGGUCCAACUCUCACACUUGGCGCUGGAGUACACCAUGAUCAACCUCGAAGCGCCCCCUGGGCCCCACGCCAGCCCCAGCCCGUGCGCAGAGACCCAGGGCCUCAGCCAGACUUCAGAGGAAGAGGAAGCCCCUUCCCAGGACCCGGAGGGGGACAUGAUCCCAGGGCCUCCCCUCCACAUGUCUGGGGAGGAGCUCAGCUUCUCAAAGUUCAUAUCAGUCUAGCGGUGCCCUCCAGGCCGGCCGGCCGGGAAUCUGAAUGGCUGCAUUUGCGCUAACUCCCAUAAGCUUUCCUCGACAGCUUCAGAGCUUGCCUGCCAGACUCCGGGCUCUCCCCUGCCAUCCCCAGGCCCUCCUCCUGCAUGCCCAGCCUGACCCGGAAGUCUUUGUCAGCCCCGGGGCCUGCAGUGGUGGCCUCACAGAAUGAGUGGGACCCUGGGACCUCCUCGGUAUGUGCACAUUGGGGCAGGGCGUGCAGCUGGAGCUCGCCAGAGCCAGGCAAGGCUCAGGAGAUCUGGUCUGAGUUUGUAUCCGUUACAAGAAAUCCUCUGCGGCCGGGUGCCCAGCAAAAGACCCCCACCUUCUUCUCCCUUCCUUCCAUCCUGACUCAGCACCACUUUCUCCUGCAUAAGUGGGCGAGGAGGAGGAGCAUGCUGGGAAUAGACGGGGUUCUGAGUUCUCAAAAUGGGACUGCAUCCCAGUCCUUCGGGAGGCUGGUUAAAAAUGUGACUCCUGGGCUCUACCAAGACCUACCAAAACCCUCUCUGGGGCUGGACCCACAGCUUUGCAUUUCUAACAAGUGUCCGAUGACUCUAAUACUUGAAUUUGAGAAGCAGUAGAUUCAGGUUCAUCCACGUUAGAGUCUGCAUUUGGUGUGUGGGGUCUCCCACCUGCCCCUCCCCCCAUAGGGGCUUCUCUGCCUAAGACACCAUGACCCAGCUAGGGGCUUUCCUGGGCCGGUCCGAGUCCAGGCCCAGGUCAGGUGCGCAUUGGAAAGGGGUGAGCCCAGGACUGACGGAGGGGUUACAUUUCCCAGCUCCCCACCCAGCCCUGCAUCCCAGGCUUUGGAAGGAGGCCGGAGAAAAGCUUGGCUCCUUCCCUGUUGAGAAAGGGUUAAUUGCCUGUGGGUUGGGGUUAGGGAGGGGUAGGAAAGCACAGGGUGCGGGUGGGCAUCUAAAAGGCAGGAGAGAGAGGACAGGGCAGGAACCUAGGAGGAACCUGAAGGUGACUCUGAGUCUGGCCCCCUGGAGAUCAGGAAGCAGGAGGGGGUAGAAUAACAGGAUUGCUAUUUUUUUUCUUUUUUGACUUUCUUUAAAAAGUGAAAUGGGUGGUUGCUCAGUAUACAAAAGUUAGAAACAUGGCGGGGAGGAGAAGAAAAUUCACUCAGGCUCACCAUUCCCCCAGAUAAUCACAGCUGCGUUUUGUUGCAUUUCCUUCCUGUUUUUUUACUCCACAUCAUUUGCUGGUGUUCUCCGACAAAUUAGUUUGUAUAUACAACUUUAGAUCCUGCUUUUUCCACGUAAUUUUUUUUUUUUUAAGAUUUCUAUUUGUAAGUAAUCUCGACACC